RNAcentral lists this ribosomal RNA (436 nucleotides) under Orianajea pauliani. Its description in RNAcentral is "partial large subunit ribosomal RNA". The record is from RNAcentral. Lineage: Eukaryota; Metazoa; Arthropoda; Insecta; Hemiptera; Cicadellidae.
CCCUGCCCUAUGAGUAUUUAAAUGGCUGCAGUAUUCUGACUGUGCAAAGGUAGCAUAAUAAUUAGUUUUUUAAUUGAGGACUUGUAUGAAUGGGAAUAUGAAAAAUAUAUUUUAUUAAUUUUAUUUUUAAAAUUUAAUUUUUAAGUAAAAAAGCUUAAUUUAUUUUUUGGGACGAGAAGACCCUAUAGAACUUAAAUUUUUUUAUAUAACAGUUUAUUUUGAUGAAUUAUUUAACUUUAUUAAAUUUUUUUUUGUUGGGGUGAUAAAUAAAUAUAAACUUUAUUUUUUUGAUUCACUUAUAAAUGUUUUAUUGAUCCAUAAAUUUGAUUGAAAGAUUAAGUUACCUUAGGGAUAACAGCGUAAUUUUAAUGGAAAGUUCUUAUUUAUAUUAUAGUUUGCGACCUCGAUGUUGAAUUAAGAUAAGAGUGACGGGUAG